This is a long non-coding RNA of Syzygium oleosum, 695 nucleotides long. RefSeq lists it as uncharacterized. The record is from RefSeq and is a predicted model, not a curated record. The transcript is spliced from 2 exons. NCBI's taxonomy places the organism in Eukaryota, Viridiplantae, Streptophyta, Magnoliopsida, Myrtales, Myrtaceae.
GCGAAUCGAGAUAAAUGGUGAAUAGGCGCACGACCACGCUGAGGUCGAGCCUUGCCGUGUUCUUUCAGUUUGUGCAUCCAAACAGCGGUACGAAAAAAGGUUAAGAAUAGCUACAUUUUCAAAUGGCAAAUGAAGAAGAACUCAGUUUUAUGAUCUUCUUGUCACUCUAAUGGAUUAAAGUCGCGGCGGUUUUGACAUUCUUAAUGAGCACUUAUUGUCCGUCUUCAUUAAUGAAAUUGAAAACCUCUUUGUAGAAACUCUCCAUAAUUCCUGUCUUCACGUUAUGCUGCAAGAGCACAAAUAGUCCGCAAUCCCCAGGUGAGCUGUGGAUCUUUGAAGAGCACGGAAAAGUAUCACGUGAAGAGGCUAAACCAGAGACUGAACAGAGCAAUGGCUAACAAAACGGUUGCGAUGCUGGUCCUCAUCAGCUGCGUCCUGUCGUCGAUGGCGUCGACGGCCCUUGGGUGCAGCGGCACGGAGAAUUGUUUGAGGGGCCCGACGCCCUCACCAGAAUUUCCCAGAAGACUUUGCAUGACGGGUUGCUAUAAUAGGAAUUGCAGGCACGCGUUUCCGAAGGACCUCUGCCUGUCCGACUGCGCGUUAGAAUGUCUCCACCAUGAAUGACAGCUACUCCCGUCGCAGAACCAAUGAUGUCCGUGUGCUUUGAAACAUAAUAAGAUGUAUUCGCAUCUCCC